Non-coding RNA from Acanthosepion pharaonis, 111 nucleotides. The record is from the annotation of a GenBank genome assembly. NCBI's taxonomy places the organism in Eukaryota, Metazoa, Mollusca, Cephalopoda, Sepiida, Sepiidae.
CGGCCAUAUCGCGUGGCAACACCGGUUCCCGUAUAAUCACCGAAGUUAAGCAACAUUGAGACUGUUCAGUACUUAGUUGGGUGACCGCUUAGGAAUACCAACUGCUGUAAU